AUGAACGCUGGCGGCGUGCCUAAUGCAUGCAAGUCGAGCGAACAGACGAGGAGCUUGCUCCUCUGACGUUAGCGGCGGACGGGUGAGUAACACGUGGAUAACCUACCUAUAAGACUGGGAUAACUUCGGGAAACCGGAGCUAAUACCGGAUAACAUGUUGAACCGCAUGGUUCAACAGUGAAAGACGGUCUUGCUGUCACUUAUAGAUGGAUCCGCGCCGCAUUAGCUAGUUGGUAAGGUAACGGCUUACCAAGGCAACGAUGCGUAGCCGACCUGAGAGGGUGAUCGGCCACACUGGAACUGAGACACGGUCCAGACUCCUACGGGAGGCAGCAGUAGGGAAUCUUCCGCAAUGGGCGAAAGCCUGACGGAGCAACGCCGCGUGAGUGAAGAAGGUCUUCGGAUCGUAAAACUCUGUUAUUAGGGAAGAACAAAUGUGUAAGUAACUAUGCACGUCUUGACGGUACCUAAUCAGAAAGCCACGGCUAACUACGUG
RNAcentral lists this ribosomal RNA (496 nucleotides) under uncultured bacterium. Its description in RNAcentral is "partial 16S ribosomal RNA". It matches the Rfam family "Bacterial small subunit ribosomal RNA", at positions 29 to 507 of the family's 1533-position model. The record is from RNAcentral.